RNAcentral lists this long non-coding RNA (208 nucleotides) under Elaeis guineensis (African oil palm). Its description in RNAcentral is "long non-coding RNA (EGUI_LNC025172)". Lineage: Eukaryota; Viridiplantae; Streptophyta; Magnoliopsida; Arecales; Arecaceae. The record is from RNAcentral.
UACUGUUCACCAACUUUUCUCUCUAACUUAAGCAUCGGAGGGUCUCCGUCGGACACAAAUCCGGUCAAUGCGGAUAUUAUCUUGCAGGUGUUCGUUCCCGACAACAGACGACGGGGAGUUAGUCGUAACAGAUUGGCACACCAGGAAGGAGAGAAGAGAGACAAUAUUCACUAUGACGAAAAUUAGAGCUUUACAUUCGACUGCAACC